This 7175-nucleotide long non-coding RNA is filed under the name Nicotiana tabacum (common tobacco). RNAcentral's name for it is "long non-coding RNA (NTAB_LNC013571)". Lineage: Eukaryota; Viridiplantae; Streptophyta; Magnoliopsida; Solanales; Solanaceae. The record is from RNAcentral.
GCGGAUCACAUUAAGGAUUGUGAGGCACAUGAACAUAUCCUAGUAGAUUUACUGUAUAGAAUCACUCGUGCUUUGCUAUAUAGGGUGGGAGGCACCCACGGUCAAAUUUGGCAUUUGGUACCUCGGUUUGAGACCUACGGCUAAAUAUGAUAUUUAACUUUUAGCUUGUUUUUUCUUUUAUUUUUUCCUCAAUUCUUUUUCUCUUUUGCUUUUUAUUAUUACUAGUCUUAUGAUACGCGCUUUGCACGUGUAACUAAGUCAAUGAAUAGGUAAUGUUUUAGAAAAUUUUAUAAGUACUACUUUUAUAAUAUAUUUGUAUUAUAAAUUUAUAAAAAUGUAUAUUCCUUAAAAUAAAUAUAGUAUUAGUUAAAAAGGCUUAUCUACAAACCCUACCACGUUAAAUUUUUUAUUUUUCUGAUUUUCUUUCACCUCCAAUACUAUUCUUAUAAAAAUAAAUUUAGGUAUCCUCUAAAAAUUUUGACAACUUGAAGACUGUGAGCACGUGAUUUUUGCCUUAUAUGAAUUACUUCUACAAAUUCAAAACAAAAUAAUUUUUUUUUCAUUAUUAGCAAUUUUGUGAGUUUUGUGGCAUUUUCCGUUAAUUGUUUGCAUUUGUGUGUGAGUGUUUAUUUUAUUUAAUUAAUGAAAAAUAAAAAAAUACGUUGCAUUUGCAUUUAGGAUUUGACUUUGCAUUUUCAAGAAUUGAUUAUUAAUUAAUUAGUUGUUUUAAAAAUGGAAAAAUCAAAAAUAGUUUAUGUUGCACUUUUUAAAUAUUGGUAAUUUUCCCUUUUAAUUUAGAUCUCAAUUAAUUAUGGUAAUUAUUUAGGCUUAAUUAGUAUUUUUUGAUAAGUUAAUAUUAUUUAGUUAAGGAUUUUGGUUCCAAUUUUUGAAAGAAAAAAGAAGAAGAAGAAGAAGAAAACAAAUGGAAAUUAGGAAAAAUAAAAGAAAGAAAAAGAUAAAAGAAAGAGGAGUAAAAUCUGUUAGGCCAUCUCUCAUUUUUAUCCAGGCCCAAGCAAAAUUCACCCCUAUUACCCGCCCAAACCGGCCCAGACCUGUCACCCCUACCCGACCCGACCUAGCUUAACCAAAACGAUGUUGUUUCAUGCAGGGAUUAAUCAGAGCUGUUGGAUUUCAAUCAUCCAACGGCUUUAAUUAAUUCCCAACUUUAAUAUACCCAAAAAAUACCUCAGACCCCCUACCCCAAAUCAAAUUCACAGACCCAACCAUCCCUAAAUCGUCUCCGCCUUACUCCGCCCACCGAAAAUCGCCUCGCGGCGGUUCCGGCGGCUCAAUCACCUCCAAAUUGAUACCAUAGAAUCUCCAUGACUCCCUCAUACCAAAUCCAUAACGAGAUUCCCUCUAAUCUAGCCAGAAAUCGUCAAAUCUUAAAUCUAAGUUUGAACCCUAAAAAUUCAAACAUCAAUUUCCGUUGAAACUGAAGACAUGCAUCGAUCCAGGCCUCUGGCCUUUCAUGAUUAGAAGGCUGAUUCAUCACAAAACUGAUGUUGUUCAUUUAUUCUUUACAAAGAACAAGUGAUUAGCAUCAGUUUCGUGUGAGUCGUGAUAUCAAGGGUGAAUUCAAGCCUAUCUGGUGAGUUCCCUUUCGUUUUUCUGUUUCACCUUUUAUUCUUCUUCUUUUCUUCUUGUUUUCUUUCUUCAGCAUUCUUCUAAAUUAUUUCCAUUCACAAGUCUGUUUCCUUCAUCUGCAUUAAUCUUAUUUUAAUAGCAUUUUCUGAAUUUAUAAUCAUAUAAGAAAGGUUUAGGUUUAAUUGAAUUUGUCGAGGCUUAUUCGAAUAUGUUUUGGAAGUCGUUAGUUCCAUUUAGAGUCUUAUAGCAGAUUAAUUCAAUGAAUUAAUAUGAUUCAGUUGUUAGAUGUUUUCUUAAUUUUGAAGUGCAUUUGUAUUAGCUCAUUUGUUUCCUGUUUAUACGAAUUCAGAGUUUAGGAGUGAUAAAUAACAUAAGCUUUGAGGGUAAUUUGGAUAGUCUAGCCUAAGGAAACCUGUCAAUAAUUGAAUUAGAAAGCUUCUAAUAAGUGGUAGAGUUUAAGAAUGCACUACUGACUAAUUUAAAGAACUAAGUUAAGUGGAAUUAAUUAAAAAUUAUUGAAAGGGUAUUUGUGAAUCCAAGGGGGCAUUUUCUACUGCCUAUAUAGAGAUCAGAAUUGAAAGAAGGAAGGGGGGAGAAACGGACAUAAUAUAGAGUCCAAAGAAAAAAAACAGAGAGAAUAUAGGAGUUUAAGAAGGCAUCCAGAGAAAAGAGAUAGAGAGUUUUUUUUAGACAUAAAAUCCAGAAAAUACCAAAACAAUUGAAAUUCUACUGUGUUAUCAAACUUUUCAGUGAUCUUGAAGUUCUGAAUUACCAAAGCAAGUUCUGAUUCAUUUAGUGUUAAUAUAGAUUGAAUUUGGUUCUCUUUUAAGCGUUGGUUGGAAGUCUGCUUGGUUGUUAUUCAUUCGAAUUGUUUUUUGGGUUGUUUAACUCCAUUCUUGGGUUUGGAUUUGGUUCCUUGGCUGAUUUUGGUUGCUGAAUUCUGUUGUUUGAUGUUGGGUUGCUAAUUUCCUUUUGUUUUCUUUCAUUUCACUCUCCAAGUAUAUGUUCCUAGAUUCACAUCACCUGAAGUCUGAUAUUGAAAUAAAAUGAAAUAUGGAGUUCCAAAUGUUGGUUUCUGCCUGUUCAAAUCAAGUAGUUUAAUUUCAGUUUUUUUAGAGUUAAUUAAUGUGAUGUAUGCUCAACAUGGGAGCUAUUAGUCGACUUGCAUUUGUUGGAGUUAGUAUAACCCUACAGUAAUUUUAGUUGCUUCUGAAAUUCUUGUGGUUAUAGCUGGUUUUGAACUGCUGAGAUAUGGAACUUGGUAAAAUGUUGACCAUUAGCUAAGUUUUGUGUUUAAGCCAUGUUAGCUAAGUGUAUGGUAGUAUAAAACUGUCAAGGAACUGCAGCAGUAUACUUCUUCAAACAUCUAAGUUUUAGUUUUAAUUCUGGUUGAAAUAAUUGCUCUUGUUUGUAUGUAAUUUUGUAUGAGAACAGCUAUUGUGGUUAGAGGUAAAAUUGAUAUAGUCCAUUAUGUUUAAGGUAUUGGGGUACUUCAUUAAUUGCAGAUUUGGUUGUCAUGAGAGGUUCAGUUGUGUAUUCAUGGUAGAUGUAUUAUGAAUUUGCCUAUCAAAUUAAUUUAUAGACUAGUCUUCUUUCUUAACAAUAAAUUGCCAAUUUUAGUUUAGGAGUGUAAUUAGCCCAUUUCUUAUAACAAAGUAAUAUCAACAUUAUUACAAGGUCAGAAUUAUAAUAAUUUGGUAGUUGUAAAUAGUUUUCGCAAGUUUGGACAAUAAUUGGCUUGAUUUGUUCGUUUAAAACCCAAUCGUCACAAGCGAAUUAAUAGAAUAGUUAGGACUUAAUGUGUAGAAAUUAUGUGGAAUGCAGUUUUGGUUCGUGCAAUGAGCUCGUCUGGAUUGAAGUGAUGACUGCUUAAUUGUGUAAAAAUCUCGGUGCAUUGUAUGUGAUUAAAAUUGUGAUGUAGAUAAAUAGGUAAAUGUCAGAUGUGUACAUAGUAUGAACUGAUUUUAUGAGAAUUGAUUUCGGCACUUUAAAAGAGGAUAUACAAAGUUGAGUUUGCACUGUGUGAUGGUUAUUUCGUAAAACCAAUGUUAUUCAUAUUAACCAAAGUUCCUCCCAACUUUACACAUAAACCAUUUUGCAACUUUUAAACACAUACAAUUGGUCUCAAGCAUAGGAAAAGAACAAACAACUUAUGAAUGUGGUAAGCAAGCUUUAGGCACAUAAUUAAAUCAUGGGUAUGGUUUCCGUGGUGUGGUUGUGAUAUUUAAUUUCAAAUUAAUUUUGAAUAUGCAUAUCCAUAGUUCACUUAGUUGGAGGCUUUUUCCUUUAAUAAAAUUGAGGUGUGCCGUGCCAAAUAAAAUCUCAAAAUGCAUUGCCUUUAUUUAAUUAAUUUUAAUCCUUAGAAAUCGAGGCGUGCCAUUUUAGUCAAAUUUUCCAUGGCCCUCGCAAACUUUAAAAUGCGUAGUUGCUUUAGGCGCGCUAUUUUAAAAAAGUACCUUCCUAAACUCGGGUGUGCAUUUCAUGUGGCCCAAAUCUAAAUCUUAACAACGUUAAAUAAAAUGUCUCGGAUUGCAGGUGCAUUUCAUGUGGCGUGGUCCAAAGACGUGUUUUAGAUGACGUUGAACUAUUCCUUAAAAUAAUUAAAAGCGGUUUUAAAGUUAAAAUGUACAUAGUUUUAAAAGUAUUUUAAAAUCAGAUAAAUAGGCCAAAUAUAACAGUUGAGUGACCGUGCUAGAACCACGGAACUCGGGAAUGCCUAACACCUUCUCCCGGGUUAACAGAAUUCCUUACCCGAAUUUCUGGUUCGCGGACUGUAAUAAUAUUUUCUCGAUUUGGGAUUUGAACCGGUGACUUGGGACACCAUAAAUUAUCCCAAGUGGCGACUCUGAUUCUUAGAUCAAUAAUCUUGUUUCGAUUGUCACUUUAAGUUGGAAAAAAACUCCCUUAUACCCUUUCCGGGGUAAGUAAAAAAGGAGGUGUGACAAAGACAAAUAAUUAAUUAAAUUUUUAGACUUAAUUAUUUGGCCUUAACAUUAAAGGAACUAUUUUAGUUUUUGUUGAUUCAAAUUCUUAAUAUUAGCUCAUCCGAAGUUUUAAAUAUUUAAUUGUAACAUGAAAGGGAUUACAAUUGUGUUACAUUGUUCAAAUAAGAAAAUUAUUAAAAUAAUUAAAAUUUAACUUAUUUAAAAUACUGAAUGCUAAAAUUUUCUACAUAGUUCAAAUUCAAAAAAUUAAAUUUUAGUUAACUUUUAGGUCUUAUAUAUUUUAAAAAUUAAUAUGAAAAAUAUUAUAGUUAAUUAUAUUUAGAAAGGAUUAAUAAACUAUUGGCUAAGAUAGAAGAUCUAAUAUAAGUCACAAAAUUACAUACUGCUACUAUGUUUGACCCCAAAAAAUAUAAUUUGAUACAACAUUUUAUUAUAGCAUUCCAUAAGAUUUUGUUUAUUGAAUCCUUAAACAAUUUUUUAAGUUAAGUAUUUAGUGUCUAUCAUUCCAUAAAAUUCCACAAAUAAGCAUUAAAAUAGUUCCCGUAACAAUGGUUGCAUCUGUAUAAUUUUUAAUUUUUACGGAAAAUGUAGAAGAAUUUUACUUGCUCCAACGUGUAAUGCUUUUUCUCUUUGUCUUCCUACCUUCGUUUAGUAGUCUAUAUAAGUAAAAUUUUAUUUGAGUUAUUAGUCUACAUAAGUAAAAUUUUAUUUAUUUGAGUUUAAGUUCUAAAUAUUAGGAUUUGUACAUAAUUUAAAUAAGGAGGAUUUUGAUUAUCAAACUUUUAGCUAAAUUCGAAGUUUAUAAUAUUAGGAAAAUAAUUUAAAUUAUUAUUUUAUUCAGUGUGAAAUUUAUUUUUAAAAGGUAAAAAAUGCGAACGACGUUUUGUUAAGGAUCUUCAUGCUUUUAAUAUAGUACUAGUCUCUUUAGACGUGCGUUGCCACGUCGUCUAUAUAAUUAUUAUCAUUUAGUGAAAACUUUGUGUAAUAAAUAGUAAUAUUUUUAACCGCAUUAAUAUUCAGAACAUAUUUUGUUGAACUAUGACAUAAAAAUUAAAGCAGUAGAAAUCUAACUGCAUAAAUUUCAAUUUGCUUUCAUUCAUCAAAUUGAUGUCAGAAAGUAUGUGAUUGCUCCAUUGCGUGAUAUAGUUCGUCGUGCUUGUAUCUAUUCUAUCUUUGUUUUCGACCGAAUACGGCUGGUUUUAUAUAAAGAUAAGAGUAUGUCUCUUAAGUUUUUUUUGUUAUAAAUCGCGGAAAGACUUAUACAAAUAGUAAGUCUCUUGUAUAUGAAAAACUCAUCUAUUACUUAUUCGAGGGGGUAAUUUAAUUUUUUAAAGGUAUAAAACUCCAUCAAUUACAUCUAUAUCUAUAUAUAUAUAAAUAAAGUUGGGAAUAGGAAAGAUGAUGUGGCAUCUUGCUAUGAUCAGCAUUUAUAUUUAUUUAUUUUCUCCAUUUUUUGCAAUUUUUGCUUCAUUCUCUGUCAUUUGUUUGGAUUUUUUUAGUAGUUUGCUUCUGUUGUCCUCUCCUUUAAUUACUUAUGUAUUGCUGUAAGUAACGGUGUUGUAAGUAACGAAGGCAUUAAAGAGGUGUGACUUUUGAGGCCAACGAAUAGCAGCGGGAAAGGAGGAAAUUCAUUGAUCCAAAAGUAUGGUGCUAUAAUGUAACGGUGAAGGCAAUGAAUAAUAGUAGCAGUAAAUGAGGAACCAAAUAGUUAUUUUCUUCCUAAGACAAAAUAUCUCUUUACAGUAUAUAGCACUGAUAACAUAGAGAAUGCUGAGUUCAUUGUUCAUUCCUCUUGAAAAGCACACACCAAAUAUAUAUCUGAUACACCAUCAUAAGUUUCAGUCGCAUGGCCGAGUAAAAUGCCAGUCAAAUAACAAUUUCUUACUGCUCUUCUUCUAAAGAUUAGAGUUAUUAGCAGACAGUUUUCUGCGAUGUUUCUCACAUUCACUUGGAUCCAACCAAUUGAGAAGAUGCCAUUAUCGACAUUCCAGUGAAUGUAUGAUCAGACAUUACGUUUUUGUUUUUUGAAGACAAACUUUCAAAAUGUUUUGGUAUUUAAUUAUUGAGGUGCCGAGGUCGUACUAUGUGUGAUGUUUCACAUACUAAUUACUACAAUCUAUGUUCCCAGUUCCCGCCCUAUAAGGGAUUAGCUUGCUUAUGUUUCAAAACUAAUUACUACUAAUUGAUCAAGUCUUUAUGUCAAACCUGAUAGUGACAAACUGUUGUGACAAGUUUAUCAUAAUUGCUGGUUGUUCUUUAGUUUUUGUCUUGCCUUAAGUAAUUUUUUCAGAACAUGCUCUCUUCCCAGAAGAACGGAUCGUACGACAAGGUAAAUUAUUCAAGCAGACAUGUAAAGCUAUGGCUAUGCGAGUUUGCCAACUGAGGACGUGGUCGUAUCACUAACUGAAGAAACAAAGACUCCAAGAAGCUACACGUCCUUAAGCCAUGAAGCAACCAAAUACAAAUAUGUAAUCUAUCUUUUGUUGCUUAUUUUAGUAUUACAAGUAUGUACCCUCAAAUUAAGAACAAGAUUUCACCAUUGUUUAACCAAAAAUCUGAGUUUUUGGUCAAAGCUAAAAAGAAAUUCGGGUUACUGAUAAUCAAGAGACAAAAAUAAAAUACUUUUGAGAAUGAUGGUAAAAC